RNAcentral lists this ribosomal RNA (210 nucleotides) under uncultured Solentia sp. Its description in RNAcentral is "partial 16S ribosomal RNA". It matches the Rfam family "Bacterial small subunit ribosomal RNA", at positions 358 to 582 of the family's 1533-position model. The record is from RNAcentral. Lineage: Bacteria; Bacillati; Cyanobacteriota; Cyanophyceae; Pleurocapsales; Pleurocapsaceae.
GGAAUUUUCCGCAAUGGGCGAAAGCCUGACGGAGCAAUACCGCGUGAGGGAGGAAGGCYUKUGGGUUGUAAACCUCUUUUYUCARGGAAGAARMMAAUGACGGUACYUGAGGAAUCAGCAUCGGCUAACUCCGUGCCAGCAGCCGCGGUAAUACGGAGGAUGCAAGCGUUAUCCGGAAUUAUUGGGCGUAAAGCGUCCGCAGGUGGUUGU